CCCGGUGAUAAACCGGAGGAAGGUGGGGACGACGUCAAGUCCUCAUGGCCCUUACGAGUAGGGCUACACACGUGCUACAAUGGUCAGUACAGAGGGUUGCGAAGCCGCGAGGUGGAGCUAAUCCCAUAAAGCUGGUCGUAGUCCGGAUUGGAGUCUGCAACUCGACUCCAUGAAGUCGGAAUCGCUAGUAAUCGUGGAUCAGAAUGCCACGGUGAAUACGUUCCCGGGCCUUGUACACACCGCCCGUCACACCAUGGGAGUGGGCUGCACCAGAAGUAGAUAGCUUAAC
Molecule: ribosomal RNA, 289 nt
Filed under: Shewanella sp.
Lineage: Bacteria; Pseudomonadati; Pseudomonadota; Gammaproteobacteria; Alteromonadales; Shewanellaceae
Description: partial 16S ribosomal RNA
Rfam family: Bacterial small subunit ribosomal RNA
Source: RNAcentral